AUCUAGGUGGCUCAGUGGAUAGAGCACCAGGCCUUUAAUCAGGAGGGCCUAGUUCAAAUCUAGCCUCAGACA
Molecule: transfer RNA, 72 nt
Filed under: Monodelphis domestica (gray short-tailed opossum)
Lineage: Eukaryota; Metazoa; Chordata; Mammalia; Didelphimorphia; Didelphidae
Rfam family: tRNA
About the family: Transfer RNA (tRNA) molecules are approximately 80 nucleotides in length. Their secondary structure includes four short double-helical elements and three loops (D, anti-codon, and T loops).
Source: Rfam by way of RNAcentral